AGUGAACGCUGGCGGUAGGCCUAACACAUGCAAGUCGAACGGCAGCACAGGAGAGCUUGCUCUCUGGGUGGCGAGUGGCGGACGGGUGAGGAAUACAUCGGAGUCUACUCUGUCGUGGGGGAUAACGUAGGGAAACUUACGCUAAUACCGCAUACGACCUACGGGUGAAAGCAGGGGACCUUCGGGCCUUGCGCGAUUGAAUGAGCCGAUGUCGGAUUAGCUAGUUGGCGGGGUGAAGGCCCACCAAGGCGACGAUCCGUAGCUGGUCUGAGAGGAUGAUAAGCCACACUGGAACUGAGACACGGUACAGACUCCUACGGGAGGCAGCAGUGGGGAAUAUUGGACAAUGGGCGCAAGCCUGAUCCAGCCAUACCGCGUGGGUGAAGAAGGCCUUCGGGUUGUAAAGCCCUUUUGUUGGGAAAGAAAUCCAGCUGGCUAAUACCCGGUUGGGAUGACGGUACCCAAAGAAUAAGCACCGGCUAACUUCGUGCCAGCAGCCGCCGUAA
This 506-nucleotide ribosomal RNA is filed under the name uncultured bacterium. RNAcentral's name for it is "partial 16S ribosomal RNA". It matches the Rfam family "Bacterial small subunit ribosomal RNA", at positions 29 to 523 of the family's 1533-position model. The record is from RNAcentral.